CCGGGCUAAGCAGCCAAGACAAGGCGAACAGUGUGACAGAGCUAGUGUGAGUGAGCUGCUGCUAAGAGAGUUACUGAAUAAAACAACCUUUCACCUGCCUACAGCCCCCGCAGCGUUCUUUCAGCUAUCUGCUCGUCCAUCCACUCGCUUCGGACCUCAGCAUGAGCUGGAACCUGACUCCAAACAGGACAGAGAGUAGUACCAUUGUUACCCAGCAACUCUUCAACCCCCCUUUGGAAGUAGCAACUUAGCUGUACCUGACUGCCACUUUAAAACUACUAUUUUUGACAUUAGGAAUUGAAAAUAAUUGUGAAUGCACCCAUUCUUGGAAAACCAGGCAAGAGGUUUCCCUGGACCCUUGAAGCAUGAGAAGAGAUCUAUGAAAGGCUAAAUUACUGUUGCUAGCAAAGGAAGGCUCACAUGGGUGAAGCUGUGAUCAGAAGCAUAAGAUCCCUGGGCUGCACUAUGGUGGGUACUCUUAAGAAUGACCUCCAAUCUAGAAAUGACACUUUUAACCUGUAGGAUGUGGCCUGGUAUUAAGGGCGUACAAGGCUUAAGGCCAGCUGUUAAGUUAAUAAGGCGAUAACAAGCAGGCCACAGAGGGUAAACGCUGCGACUUGCCCAGAAGCCAGCUGGCAAGAGGCAGGUAAGACGCAAGCUUGCCUUGGCAGUCAUCUACCAUGGAGCAGACAAGUGUUUCUUUGUCACACGCCCGAACUCUGGCCCAGCUAACAAUGCCUAGGCAUUGUCCAAAAUUGGGUCAGCUCAAAAAAAACAAAACAAAAACAAAAAACUCCUCAUUUUUGGUUCUAAAGACAAGCUGCAGAGUGACUGCUAGAAAUCUUUCCCUGGCGCACCACUCACCCUGGGCCUUCUUUGACCAGUACGAGGUCACAGCAAAGGAAAACACAUUCCCAUUAAUGAGGCAUCAGUGAGAAUGAAAGGCUCAAGAAACUCAAUGUAGCCCUCACUUGUUUGAAAACAAAUUCCUUAAAUCACAACAAGGUUCAGAGGUAGGGAGCUCAAGUCAAUCCUGAAGUAGCCUUAGUAACUGUUAGGAUAAAUGCGUAAGUCUGUGCCUGCCCUGGCACUGAAGAAAACACCAGGCCAGAUGGCUUCACCAACUCUCCACCAUCUGGCUUCCUUCAGUGAUCUACUUGCUUUCCCUUAUCUUACAUUUCUAUUUUACAUCCUUUUCUCUUUCCCCAAUUCCCCCUCACCAACACCUUCUUCACUCUCAGCCCAUAAUCUUGUGUUCAACUGAGGAAACAAGCCACCAGAAGAGAAGGUCCUCACACUUCCACCACAAACUGCCAGUUUCCACCUCCAAACCUACAGCUGCCCUGCACUUGUUCCCAUUCCUCUACCUUCCUCCCCAUGAUAAGAGAUGACCUCUCUUCUUCCCACCCCCACCCAACACCCUCUACUUGUGUACAGAUUUCACCUCCUAUCCACCCAAAUACAUGACACCCAUAACAACAGAUCCCUUCUUUCUUUUUAUUCUGGUGCAGAAACACAUAACAUAAAAUUUACCAUCUAAACUGUUUUCAAGUGUACAGUUUAGUAGUGUUAAGUAUAUUCAGGCUGUUGUGAAACAAAUCUCCAGAACUUUUUCAUCUUGCAAAUGUGAAACUCUAUGCCCAUGAAGUAACUCUUCUUUAGGCCCUUCCCUCAGCCCUGGUAACCACCAUUCUACUUUCUGUUUCUAUGAGUUUGACUAUUCUAGCUGCCUUAUAUAAGGAGAAUCAUACAGCAUUUCUCUUUUGGUGACUGUCGUAUUAUGCUUAACAUAAGGUCCUCAAGGUUCAUCCAUGUUGUAGCAUGUAUCAGAAUUUCCUUCCUUUUUAAGACUGAAAAAUAUUCCAUUGUACGUUGUAUCACGAUUUAUAGCAGUCACUCUGUAGCUUGUCUUUAGAACCAAGAAGGAGGAGUUUUUUACUUUGAACUGACCCAAUUUUGGACAAUGCCUAAGCAUUGCUAGCUGGGCCAGAAUGAACGGACACGUGGAGUGCUUCUACUUCUUGGCUAUUGUGAAUAGUGCUGUUAUAAACAUGUAAGUAAAAGUAACUCUUCAGACCCUGCGUUCAUUUCCUUUGGAUACAUACCCUGAGGUGGAAUUGCUGGAUAAUAUCGUAGUUCUCUUUUUUGAGCAUUUUUUGA
This 2160-nucleotide long non-coding RNA is filed under the name Homo sapiens (human). RNAcentral's name for it is "HSALNT0393806". The record is from RNAcentral. Lineage: Eukaryota; Metazoa; Chordata; Mammalia; Primates; Hominidae.